RNAcentral lists this ribosomal RNA (440 nucleotides) under uncultured Candidatus Liberibacter sp. Its description in RNAcentral is "bacterial SSU rRNA". It matches the Rfam family "Bacterial small subunit ribosomal RNA", at positions 199 to 658 of the family's 1533-position model. The record is from RNAcentral. Lineage: Bacteria; Pseudomonadati; Pseudomonadota; Alphaproteobacteria; Hyphomicrobiales; Rhizobiaceae.
GGGGAAAGAUUUUAUUGGAGAGAGAUGAGCCUGCGUUGGAUUAGCUAGUUGGUAGGGUAAGAGCCUACCAAGGCUACGAUCUAUAGCUGGUCUGAGAGGACGAUCAGCCACACUGGGACUGAGACACGGCCCAGACUCCUACGGGAGGCAGCAGUGGGGAAUAUUGGACAAUGGGGGCAACCCUGAUCCAGCCAUGCCGCGUGAGUGAAGAAGGCCUUAGGGUUGUAAAGCUCUUUCGCCGGAGAAGAUAAUGACGGUAUUCGGAGAAGAAGCCCCGGCUAACUUCGUGCCAGCAGCCGCGGUAAUACGAAGGGGGCGAGCGUUGUUCGGAAUAACUGGGCGUAAAGGGCGCGUAGGCGGGCGAUUAAGUUAGAGGUGAAAUCCCCGGGCUCAACCUUGGAACUGCCUUUAAUACUGGUUGUCUAGAGUUUAGGAGAGGU